Molecule: ribosomal RNA, 406 nt
Filed under: uncultured bacterium
Lineage: Bacteria
Description: partial 16S ribosomal RNA
Rfam family: Bacterial small subunit ribosomal RNA
Source: RNAcentral
AUUGAACGCUGGCGGCAGGCCUAACACAUGCAAGUCGAACGAGUGGCGGACGGGUGAGUAAUGUCUGGGAAACUGCCUGAUGGAGGGGGAUAACUACUGGAACCGGUAGCUAAUACCGCAUACCAUCAGAUGUGCCCAGAUGGGAUUAGCUAGUUGGUGGGGUAACGGCUCCCCAAGGCGACGAUCCCUAGCUGGUCUGAGAGGAGGACCAGCCACACUGGAACUGAGACACGGGCCAGACUCCGACGGGAGGCAGCAGUGGGGAAUAUGGCACAAUGGGCGCAAGCCUGAUGCAGCCAGGCCGCGUGUAUGAAGAAGGCCGUCGGGGUGUAAAGUACUUUCAGCGGGGAGGCGUUACCCGCAGAAGAAGCACCGGCUAACUCCGUGCCAGCCGCCGCGGUAAUAC